Molecule: ribosomal RNA, 274 nt
Filed under: uncultured bacterium
Lineage: Bacteria
Description: partial 16S ribosomal RNA
Rfam family: Bacterial small subunit ribosomal RNA
Source: RNAcentral
AUACGGAGGGUGCAAGCGUUAUCCGGAAUCAUUGGGUUUAAAGGGUCCGUAGGCGGAUAAUUAAGUCAGGGGUGAAAUCCCACAGCUCGACUGUGGCACUGCCUUUGAUACUGGUUAUCUUGAGUUAUAGGGAAGUAGAUAGAAUAUGUAGUGUAGCGGUGAAAUGCAUAGAUAUUACAUAGAAUACCGAUUGCGAAGGCAGUCUACUAUCUGUAUUCUGACGCUAAGGGACGAAAGCGUGGGGAGCGAACAGGAUUAGAAACCCUAGUAGUCC